Molecule: long non-coding RNA, 6235 nt
Filed under: Phaseolus vulgaris (common bean)
Lineage: Eukaryota; Viridiplantae; Streptophyta; Magnoliopsida; Fabales; Fabaceae
Description: long non-coding RNA (PVUL_LNC000101)
Source: RNAcentral
GAAAUCCUAACCUGUGUUCUUUCAGUUUCUUCUCCAACACUGUCAACUUCUCUUCCUUCCCUGCACUGUGUGCACUAUAUCUCCAGCAACAUCGCCUCCGUAUGGUCGAAUCCCCUCCCUCUCCCAAUCUCAAGUCAAGCUCCAUUCCCAAUUCUGAGUCUGGAUCUACGGCGGGACGGUUGAAGUACCUCGCCGACACGCCUUGAGAACAUUUGGGGCUUCCUUGACGAAGGUAUGUUGUCCAAUGUUCUAUUCUUUAAUUUGCAUUUAGUGCAUUGUAGUGUGUUUACUUUGCAUUGCAGUGCAUUAAUUACUUUGCAUUUAUCAUAUCUUCAAUAGGAUAAGGAUUGAAUAUGUGUGUAACACUAAAAAAAAGGAUAAUUGAUUGAUACUUAGUGAGAAAGAGAAUGAAUGAGGAUGAUGGAAAAACAGGGUGGAAUGGUGGUGAGUUUAUAGGGCAUCAUUUGGUUGUGUGAGAAUUGUCAUAGCCAAAUGAAUGUACAAAAGCUGUCUAGGUCUCUGCUAUCUGUUGCAAUGUGUUUUUGUGGUGAGUUGAUGGCGGUCGGAGUUGAUUAGGUAUAACAAUGGCUAGUACUAAGCUAUGAAACAUAAACAUGCAUACGCUACGGUGUAUAUAUAUAUAUAUAUAUAUAUAUUAAUAUACUUUAUCAUAAAAAAAAGUAAGAGAAACAUUUAUAAAAGAAUCUAUAAAACAUAAAUUUAUGUAAAUUAUAAUAUUUGAUUUUUAUUUUUGUUCAUUCUUAUUUUUAUUAAAAAAUAUAACUUCUAAUUAUGGUUGAUAAGAAGAUAAACUAGCAAUAUUAAGAAUCUCAUUGUCAUCUAGUAAAAGUUCAUCUCUUUCAAUAUUUCACAAUUUAGUUUCUCCUUUUUUAUUUUAAGGAUUUUCUUGGGAGAAGAUGAAGAUUACUAUGUAAAAAUAUUAGACCAUUUGUUCUUUUUAGUGUCAUCUUUUUUUUUAAAGAAUGUAUAGAAGAGUAAGUAAUCAAAUUCCUUUUACAACUACAAGAAGAAUGCAAUUGUCCAAAUAAUUUAAGAGCUAUCUUCUGAAGUAUUGGUGCAUGAGCUCUAUGAACAAUCUAAUGUUAUAUUGCAUCUAUUUUACCUCUAACAUUAAAGAGUCAACAUUAGAAAAAUCUUCUCUUCCUUAUGAAAAGUUUGCAAAUUCUAUAUUUAUCUGUCUCCUUGCAUCCACAUGGUCAAAAGUACCUUUCAAAACAUUCAUCUCAUGAUUAAGUUCCAUGAGAUGAGACAAAUAUUUGUGAAUUUUCAUUUAACCAUUUAUGACUAUAAUAUUUACAACAUUAAAAAUAUAUAAACAUAAAUUAAUAUAAUAUUAUAUAUAAUAUGUCCAUAAUAAAAUAUAAUUAAAAAAUAAUUUCACUAUACGAUGUAUUAUUACCUUGGAUUUAAAGAAAGGGCAAGACAAUGAAGAAAUGCAUUACUCUUAUUUCAGCAAUCAACUAAUAUUGAGUUUACUAUCUCAAAAAAUGAUGAAUGUUUGACUUCUGUCUUUAUUUCAGGUUGGUAUAUGACAUUUUUUCACGUUUUCAAUAAUUAAAUUUCACAUUUCGUAUACUAAGUGAUUAGUAGCCAUAUUUGUAUUUAUUUUUCCUAUGAAAAUCAUAAGUAGGAGUAGUAAAAACAAGUAUAUAAUCAAUCUUCAUCUACCAAUUAUCAAUUAAUAAAGUUUCUUUCAUAAAUUGUGCACUAUCUCUUAUCAUCUUUGUAAGAGGACCAUUUGUUACUAAUAAUUAUCUCUUGGAGUCCUUAUCAAUAAUUUAAGAGAUUCAAAAACAUUGUUGAUAAACAUAAAUAUUUCUUAUAGUAUUUUUUUGUUGCACAACUAUUUUUUAAUGCAAGAUUCAAGGUGUGCAGUACACAAUGAGUCCAAUAAAUUGAAGAAAAUUUUAAUUCUAUAAGCAUACCUGUUGCCUUACAUAUAUAAUUGCAUUAUCAGUUAUAAUUUGUAUCACAUUUUUUGGCUCAACCUCCAUAAUUGCAUAUCUUGUGUGAUUAACAAUAAAAUCUUUGUCCCUUAUCUCACAACCUAUCACUAACAAUUGUUGCACCUUUCUGAUUUCAUGAGUUUCGUAUAGGUUGCAAAAUAUUUUUUACAUGACUUCUUUCUUUUGAAAGUAAAGGGCCUAUCAAUUUAUUAUAUGUUGGUAGUACAUAUUCACUAAGAUUAGAAGUAUUAGCUACAUAAGAAAAUUCACUUUUAUAAUAAGCACUUUUGGCUAGAUUAAAUGGUAAUCCUGAAGAAUAAAACAUCUUCGCUAUUUCACAAUCAAGAGUAUCUCUCGCUUGAAUAUUGAAAGAAGCUUGUAAAGAACCUUUGAAGUCAAUAGAUGAAUCAAGUGAGAUAAAGAACAAAAAGUUUAUUCCUAAACACCUAAAAAGAUGUAAUUACGGAGUUUGAGCUAAAAAAUGUGGUGCAAAUUAUAAUUGAUAAUGCAGUUGUAUGGAAGGCCGUGUGUAUGCUUAUAAAAUUAAAAUUUUCUUCAAUUUUUUGAACUCUUUGUGUAGUGCACUUCUUCAAUCUUGCAUUAAAAAAUAUUUGUGCAGCAAAAAAAAUACUGAAAUAGUGAUAUUUAUCAACAAUGUUUUAGGAUCUCUCAAAUUGUUUAUAAUGCUACUUUUAUUAAAACCUUUAUUGUAGGACACUCUUAUGAGAUUAUCAAUGUUCAAUAACUUUAACUCAUUGAAGUUGCUUACUCUUGCUCCAACAAGAUUUGCAUCAACCAUGUCAUGCUAAAAAUGUUUAGAAGUUUGAAAAAAGAACUUCAAGAGAUGAUUAUUAGUGAUGAAUGGUAUUCUUGAGAAUAAUGUGGAUAGUGCACAAUUUGUGAAAGAAACUUUGUUGACUGAUAACUGGUGGAUGAAUGUUAAUUACAUACUUGCUUUUAAUGCUUCUAAUUAUAAUGUUCUAUGUUCUUAGAAAAACAACAGAUACAAUUAUGGCUACUAUUCACUUAAGUAUACGAAAUGUGAGAUUAAAUUAUUGAAGAUAUGAAAAAGGUCAUAUAUCAACGUGAAAAAAAGACAAAAGUUGUUAAUUCAUCGUAUUUUGAGGUAGUAAACUCAAUAUUAAUGGAUGGUUGGACUAAACGUAGCACAUCUCUUCAUUGCCUUGCUCAUUCUUUAGACCUAAGGUAAUACAUUGUAUAGUUAAAUUAUUUAUAGUUUUAUUUUAUUGCGUACAUAUCAUUUAUAAUAUCAUAAAUUUAUAAUAUUAUAUUAAUUUAUGUUCUUAAUGUUGUAGAUAUUAUAGUCAUAAAUGGUUAAAUAAUGAAGAUUUAUAAAGACUUGUCCCACAUCAAGAUGUUGAACUUAUGAAAGGAAUAAAUGUUUUAAGAUGUACUUUGAUGAUCCGGAUGUAAGGAGAUAGGUAAAUAUAGAAUUUUCAGAUGGAAGAGAAUAUUUUGUUUAAUGUUGACUCUUUAAGGGAUAAAGAUAAAAUGGAUGCAAAAUCAUUGUGGGUUGUUCAUGGAGCUCAUGCACCAACACUUCAGAAGAUGAUCCUUAAAUUGCUUGAACAACUGUGUUCUUCUUCUUGUUGUGAAAGGAAUUGAAGUACCUACUCUUUUAUACAUCUUUUUUGAAAAUAAGAAAUAAGAUGACAUUUAAAAGGGCGGAAGAUUUAGUAUCUGUCCAUAUUUUUCUUCAUCUCCUCUCAAAAAAAAUCCUCAAAAUACAAAGAAGAGAAAACUAAAUUGUGAGAUAACUUUUUACUUGAUGAUAAUAAUUCUUGAUAUUGAUUAUCUCUUGAUGAAUCGGAAUUAGAAGUUGUAUAUUUUUUUAAUGAGGAUAAACAAAUAUAAAAAUCAAAUAUUAUGAUUUACAGAAGUUUAUGUUUUGUUAGACUUUUUUUAUAAAUAUUUCUCUGGAUUUUUUCGGAUGACCAAGUAUGUUAAUACAUAUAUAUAUAUAUAUCCGUAUCCGUGUUCUAUAAUUUCUAAUUUAACCGUAUCCUGUAUAUGUGUCUGUAUCUGUUGGAGAUCCCACAUCGACUAGAGAUUAGAGCCUUUCAUAAUAUAUAAGUGGGUGCAAACCUCACUCUAUGAACCGGUUUUAUAGGGUUGAGUUAAGCUUAAAGUCCACUUCUUAAUAGUAUCUCUGUUUUACGGGUUACUUUGCUUUACUGCAUUGCAGUGCCAGUGUUCUUGGUGAUUUCCAACAACUCUUGGUUGAUCAACCAAUAUCCAAGCAGAGGAAGGUAUGCUAGAAUUAUUCGUGAGGUAGUAGAAGUUAUGUUUUGGUCAUUAAACAUAAUUUCGUGUAAUGCUUAUGAUAAUCAUUAGGAAUGCUUCAUUUUGAAUUAGACCUCUUGAUGCUUCUGUAUAUGAUCUUUAGAUCUCUGUUGGAGCAUUGUUAAUUUUUAUUUUAUUUUCAAUUGAGCAUUGUUAAUGAAUAGAUCUACUAUUAAAGUAAAUUGGAGUUUGUUAAAUUUUUGAGACUUGGUUUUGGUUUGAAAUAGUUUAUACUUCUGAGAUUUUACAUUGUUUUGUUUAAAGAAUCUAUAAACUAAAACUCUACAAGUCUGGUGCUACCCCUUAUUUUUUUAGGAAAACUAAAUAUGUUAACCUAAAGAUGGACAUUUUAUUAAACAAUUUUAACUUUUAAGAUAUGUUGUCUCUUUGGUGUUCUCUACUGGUAGGACAACAAGGUAACGUGUAUGUAAGAAGAAUCUGGGGUAUUCCUUAUCUGAAAAUAUGAAAGUAAUCACUUGAGAUACUGAUAUCUAUUUGGGAGAGAGAGAAUGGAUACUAUCAAAUUACCUGUUUCUUGUUAUUUUUCUAAGCAUUUCCUGCGUUGUUUUAGAAACACAAGACCUGAUAUCACCUUGAUGCAGGCCUGAGAAACUUAAGAAAUCUGGAUUGCUUUUUUAGACCUUAUAAGAUGUCAAAUUUGAUUAAACUGUUUUAAAGUAAAUUGGAGUUUGUUAAAUUUCUGAGACUUAGAUACAAAAUUUCUGAAACUUGUCUCUUACAAUUUAAAAACACAGAAGUAAACAAUCUCAUCUCACAAAAGAUAUAAGAAUACAAGGUCCAUAUAUGCUAGCUUUCAAGGCUCUUUUUGUAGUUUUAUGGAUGCUCUCACUUUUUUUUCUCUAACCUUAGUUUUCAAGGCUUGCUUAUUUUUUACAGCAAUUAUUUUUCUCUUCUAAAGUAAUUAUUUAGUCAAACUCUUUCUUUUCAGGAAAAGAAAAAUAAAGUUGUUGUUGUGCUAUUUAUCGCUUCUAGACUUAGAUUCAAGUUUUUAUUCGAUCUAUUUAAUUGUUGAAUAGUUACUUACUAUGCUUUAAUUCUUCAAGUUCAUAGACAAUUUUGUUAGUAAUAGGUUAUUUUGUGUUUUUUAUUGGAUAUUUUGUUUUUAUCUCUAAUACAACAUAAUCAUGGACAAAAUUGGAUGGUAGCACCUAGAUCAUCUAUUAGGUAUUUGAAUGGAUUGAAAUUUUUUCUAAAUUUUGAAUUUGAAAAUGCUGCAUAUAGUUUGUAUUUGGGUAACCGAAAGGAAGUGUAUGAACAUUUAAUGAGGUGAGUUUUCCAUGGAAAUGUGGAUCUUCAAAGAAGAAAUGUGUAAGGAUCAUCUACGUAGAGGGUGAGUAUGCAAGUACAAGUGAGGCAGAGAGAUUGUUGCGUCAUCAUUUUUGUGUUACAGAACUGGAGUGUUAUAAUGGUUGUGUUGCACAAUUGAGACUCUAAUAAUGCAAGUACAAGUGAGGCAGAGAGAUUGUUGCGUCAUCAUUUUUGUGUUACAGAACUGGAGUGUUAUAAUGGUUGUGUUGCACAAUUGAGACUCUAAUCUGCUAUGGCUGGUGUCUGUUCUGAUGUGAGGAAAAAGGAAGAAGCGAUUUCCUUUUUAUUUUGAGGUUGAGAAAGAAUGAUGUAAGCAAGCAAGGUGAGUUAGAAAGAUAAAGGCUUUGCUCAGCAUACAAAUGAAGAUAAAACACUCUUCAUUAUUAACUGAAUGGUAUGUAUUGUUUUGGAAUUUGGAAAAUUCUUCAUAUCCAACUUUACAUUAUAAGAGGGAUAUGUACAAUUUUAGCAAAGUUUUGUAAUCCAACCAUUAUUUGUUUAUAUUGAAUUACCAAACGUUACAACUACUCAUUGUCUAACCUUGUAAAUAAAUAUAUUUCUUUUGACGAGCUAUAAAUAAAUAUUUAAGUAUGACAUGCAGUAUGCUUAAACUUGGAGGUGGAAAUUGGUACAAG